Long non-coding RNA from Brachypodium distachyon (stiff brome), 1630 nucleotides. RefSeq lists it as uncharacterized. The record is from RefSeq and is a predicted model, not a curated record. The transcript has 2 exons. NCBI's taxonomy places the organism in Eukaryota, Viridiplantae, Streptophyta, Magnoliopsida, Poales, Poaceae.
AUAGUGCCCAGUGCUAACCAUUGGUCAGGUCGAAGCCAUGCCGCUCAAAUUUGACGUCUUCAAUCCUGGACCACCCAAAAUGAGGCAAAGGUGAAAAUGGUUCAUAAGGCUCUGAAUCCAGCUCCCAAGGUACUUUCAGCUCGGGUCUGCAGCAAUCAGCGGCCCUCCAAUGCUACCUCCAAAUAUGGUGCCGCAGGGAGUAGAAACUACAAUGCUUAAACCCCCACCAUGGUUUCCUGAGUCACCCUCAUCAGACAGCAGACAAGAGCCUUUUAGUGAAAUUAUCUCAAAAUGACCCUGCAAAAUCAGUGCAAAGUAAUCACCAAGAGGUGGAAGCGGCUUCUUUUAGAAUCCAUGAAGGAGUGAAGGAAAUGUAGCUGCUCUUUUCACACUACACAAGGGGCUCAAGACUUUGUACUAGACUAAUAGGCUAAAUUAAGCCUAUAAGGAACUGAGACAAGACAGCAAUGUGUUGCUGAAGACAGCGGAGUAGUAAAAUCUAGAGGUCAGAAUGUGAAGCAAACCUGGUAAACUGCAUUGUCAAGGCCGUCAGAAUGUGAAGAUAGACGGAGAGUUACAGUUGACACAGUACCAUUAGCUGAUAGAAUGCAGAUGGAUUUGGCAUGCAGCUCUGAGAACGACAUGAUCUUGGAGGUAAUAUCCUGCGAGUAUAAGUAUUUUCAUUGUUGCUGUUAGUUUGCUAAAUUAUACUCCUGCGAGUAGAGAACACAUGAACAAUGCAGAUACCGAAUCUUCUGUGGCAAAUAGUUUUGAACCCACCAUUUUUUUUCUUAAGAAAUAGGUAGAGAGUGAGAAAGCAAGAAAGCAAGUGAUGUUUCUACGAUCUAAAACACAACCAUAGUAAAGGUUUGUGUAUAAGCCCAGGGAGAGAAAAAUAUCGUAGUCCAUGGUAUAUAGAUCAAGGACACUCAGUUGCAUAAAAAACAUGAACAGAAUACAUAUAGCAUUGCAUAAACACCAAGAAGUAUACUAUGGGUAGUCAAUAAAUAUGGUACUACGUUAAUGUUGAGAACACACAGGUUGCUAGAAUGAAGCUUUGGAUCCAUCUAAAUUUAGAAGUUUGCUAGUGAACAAGGACAGCUGGCAAACAUUAACAUCGAUCAUGAUGCAGAUAAUACAGUCCAAGGAACAGCAAAUUGACAAUGCUGUAUAUUUUCACACAUCAUACAGGUUGAAGCACUCGAGAAAAUAAGAAACACACUAAACCACGUUAUACAGAGAAAAUUUGAACAUUGCUCGGCAACUGAAGCUCCAGAUUAAGCUAAAGUGAUUUGCAACAUAAGAAGCUAGGCAGGCGCUUGAAGGGGCAUACCUCUCCCUGAUUUAUAUGCAGUACAUGCGGAGCAAAUGCAUUUCCAGGUGAACAUCCUCCUGUGAUUAAAACAUGUAUAAAUUCAGGGCUACUUAAUGCACAUACAGAAGGGCAAGUUUUCUAUUUUAGGAGAUGAUGAAAUUUCUCGAGCAGCAAGCUUCAUAAAUACGACGAACCUCCAGCUAUAUACAAGCACAAGCACAUCACAUGCUUCGAACUGUCAAAUUUCCAGACACUUAGAGUUGACACUCGUACCGGUCUACUAAGAGGAAAAACAUAAUGUAUUUUUUUUAGUAA